Molecule: RNA transcript, 2712 nt
Organism: Hibiscus syriacus
Lineage: Eukaryota; Viridiplantae; Streptophyta; Magnoliopsida; Malvales; Malvaceae
Gene name: zinc finger CCCH domain-containing protein 30-like
Exons: 3
Source: RefSeq, a predicted model, not a curated record
UACUUUAUGAGAAAAAAACGUUGGUGGCUUAAAUCUUGGAUAAGUACCGUUGAUACAAGUUCAUCACUACCGUAAAAGCUUAAGGAUUAUGAUUUAAAUUGUGGGUAAUCGAAGCAUGUGCGGCCGUCGGGAGCAUUCAAAAUCUGAACCGAGUUCUACGUCCACCGGAGAAGCGGCGACCAACAUCAUCAAUAUGGAUCACUUAACUGUGAAAACUGAGUACUGCUUUUCUAGCUUACUUGAGCUUGCUUCUAACAAUGAUGUUGAGGUUAUUAAAGGAUUUAUAGAUCAAGAUGCUUCUUCGAUAGAGGAGGUCGGACUUUGGUAUUGUCGUGAAAAGGGUUCAAAACAAAUAGUAGCAAAGCAUAGAACCCCAUUAAUGGUUGCUGCUACCUAUGGUAGCGUUGAUGUUGUUAAGCUUAUAGUGACUCACUCUGCGGCUGUCAACCAAUCGUGUGGUGCAGACAAAAGUACUGCCCUUCACUGUGCUGCCUCUGGCGGAUCUCUUCAUGCAAUUGAUGUUGUUAAUCUACUUUUUUCGGCUGGUGCUGAUCCAAAUUGCUCAGAUGCCUUCAGACGUCGACCUGCUGAUGUUCUUGUAGUACAUCCAAAGCUCCAAGGCAUGAGAGGUGUUCUGGAAGAACUUCUUUCAGGAUGUGUUUCUGAUGACCCCUUUGGCAAGCACAAUUUAUGGAUAUCCAUUGAUAACUCUGCUUCUGGCUCACUGACCCUUUCUUCAUCACUGGAAAAUGGAUCAUCACCCUCUGCUUCGAAUCUGGCAUCUUCACCAAUGGCUUCAAAGUUCAUUGAUAUACCUGUUAACUCUGCAACAGAGAGGAAAGAGUACCCUGUAGACCCCUCUCUCCCUGAUAUUAAGAACAGCAUUUAUGCAACUGAUGAGUUCCGCAUGUUUUCAUUCAAGAUCCGUCCUUGCUCGAGAGCAUACUCCCAUGACUGGACAGAGUGUCCAUUUGUUCAUCCAGGAGAGAAUGCACGGAGAAGGGACCCUCGUAAGUACCACUACAGCUGUGUCCCUUGCUCUGAUUUCAGAAAAGGGUCUUGUAGACGUGGGGAUAUGUGUGAAUAUGCCCAUGGAGUUUUUGAAUGUUGGCUACAUCCAACACAAUACCGCACUCGGAUCUGCAAGGAUGGCACAAGUUGCGAUAGGCGGGUGUGCUUUUUUGCCCACACAGCUGAAGAACUCCGCCCACUGUAUGUGUCAACUGGCUCGGCUGUUGCCUCUCCGCGUGCAGCUGCAUCUGCAGCUAGUGCCAUGGACAUGGCUGCUGUUAUGAGCCUUUUACCUGGUUCACCCUCAUCAGUAUCUGUCGUAUCCCCUUCACCAUUUAAUCAAUACAUGUCUCCAUCUGCAAAUGGCCUUUCGCACUCAUCUCCAGCGUGGCCUCAACCAAAUGUUCCAACACUUCAUCUCCCUGGAAGCAACUUUCAAUCAAGUCGCCUGAGAUCCUCCCUUAGUGCCCGAGACAUCCCACUUGAGGACUUUGAUAUGUGGUCAGAUUUUGAUGCUCAAGAACAGAAUCUCAAUGAUUUACCCUGCUUUUCCCAGUCUCUUAACAGUCCAAUGUCUCUGAGUCGUUCUGGUCGGUCUAGAACAUUAACUCCUUCAGACCUUAAAGAGCUAUUUUCUGCAGAAAUCUCAUCAUCUCCUAGAUAUGCUGAUCGGCAAGUUGCUUCUGCUAUAUUUUCUCCAACUCAUAAUUCGGCUCUCCUUAAUCAAUUUCAACAGCAACAGAGCAAGCUCUCUCCUAUCAAUACUGGUAUUUUUGCACACAAAAACGUCGAGCAUCCACUGUUACAGGCUUCUUUCGGUGUUGGGUCUCCUGGAAGAAUGUCACCAAGAUGUACUGAGCCAAUUUCCCCCAUAGCUGCUCGCCUUUCUGCACAUGCUCAGUACGAGAAGCAUCGACAGCAGCUAGGUUGCCUUAGCUCCAGAGAACUUGGUUCUAACAAUCCUGCUACUAUUGUUGGAUCCCCUGUGAAUUCUUCUUUGUCCAAGUGGGGUUCACUUAAUGGAAAGUUGAACUGGUCAGUUAGUGCAGAUGAAAUGGGUCAAUUAAGAAGAUCAUCAUCGCUUGAGCUUGGUAAAGUUUCUGAGGAGCCUGACUUAUCAUGGGUCCAGUCUCUUGUAAAGGAACCCCAACCCGAGGUGAUGAAAGAAAAGCUGGUAGUUCCUGUCCCACACGGCGCAUCAUCUGGCGAGGUUUCAAAUGAUUCUAAUUCCCAGAUUGAUUCUAUUAUAGGAGCAUGGAUUGAGCAAAUGCAGCUUGAUCAGCUUGUAGUGUAGAGAAAAAAAAAUGAUAACACCAGGAAGUCGAGAUGUUGUGAGGAUAAACUAAGCGUGGCUUAAAGAUUGCAGCAGAUUUCCUGCAAAAAUGGUGUAGGAAGCCUCAGACGGGGCAAAUACUAAGCACUCAAGCGCCUGCUGUUUAAGGUUUUGUACCAUUUUGAGUUCUCAUAAUACUUCCAUAUUUAUUUGUUACAGUUGCAGCAGAUUUCCUGCAAAAAUGGUGUAGGAAGCCUCAGACGGGGCAAAUACUAAGCACUCAAGCGCCUGCUGUUUAAGGUAUUUGUUUUUCAUAUGAUUUAGAUGUUAUGCAUUUUAUGGGAUAAUACUAGUAAUAAUGCAUUUCCUUCUGAUGAUGUAAAAACCAAGUUUAAGUUAUUAUUUCAAUAUCUUUAUUUUUUGUCCUA